ACUGUUGGUUAUGUGUGCCCAAGCAUUGAGGCAGUCAAAGUAGGCAAAUCCGCUUUGAUAAUGCUGGGAUGUGAUGGGGAGCGAAAUUUAGUAGCGAAGUAGCUGAUUUCACACUGUCAAGAAAAGUCUCUAUCGAGGUUAAAGGUACCCGUACCGCAAACCGACACAGGUGGGUGAGGAGAGUAUCCUAAGGCCAGCGAGAGAACUGUUGUUAAGGAACUCGGCAAAAUGACCCCGUAACUUAGGGAUAAGGGGUGCCACCAUCAGGUGGCCGCAGAGAAUAGGCCCAAGCGACUGUUUACCAAAAACAUAGGUUUCUGCUAAGUCGCAAGACGAUGUAUAGGAGCUGACGCCUGCCCGGUGCUGGAAGGUUAAGGGGAUCUGUUAGAGCAAUCGAAGCAGUGAACUUAAGCCCCAGUAAACGGCGGCCGUAACUAUAACGGUCCUAAGGUAGCGAAAUUCCUUGUCGGGUAAGUUCCGACCCGCACGAAAGGCGUAACGAUUUGGGCACUGUCUCAACAACAGACUCGGUGAAAUUGUAAUUCCGGUGAAGAUGCCGGAUACCUGCGACAGGACGGAAAGACCCCAUGGAGCUUUACUGUAGCUUGACAUUGGGUCUUGGUACUACAUGUACAGGAUAGGUGGGAGGCUUUGAAACCAGGACGCCAGUUUUGGCGGAGCCAUCCUUGGGAUACCACCCUUGUAGUACUGGGACUCUAACCAUAGGCCAUGAAUCUGGUCUUGGGACACUGUCAGGUGGGCAGUUUGACUGGGGCGGUCGCCUCCCAAAAGGUAACGGAGGCGCUCAAAGGUUCUCUCAGUACGGUCGGAAAUCGUACGUAGAGUGUAAAGGCAAAAGAGAGCUUGAUUGCAAGACAUACAGGUCGAGCAAGGAUGAAAAUCGGACUUAGUGAUCCGGUGGUUCUGCGUGGAAGGGCCAUCGCUCAACGGAUAAAAGCUACCCUGGGGAUAACAGGCUUAUCUCCCCCAAGAGUCCACAUCGACGGGGAGGUUUGGCACCUCGAUGUCGGCUCAUCACAUCCUGGGGCUGUAGUAGGUCCCAAGGGUUGGGCUGUUCGCCCAUUAAAGUGGUACGCGAGCUGGGUUCAGAACGUCGUGAGACAGUUCGGUCCCUAUCCGUCGCAGGCGUAGGAAAUUUGAGAAGACCUGUCCUUAGUACGAGAGGACCGGGAUGGACG
RNAcentral lists this ribosomal RNA (1199 nucleotides) under Clostridioides difficile. RNAcentral describes it as "partial 23S ribosomal RNA". It matches the Rfam family "Bacterial large subunit ribosomal RNA", at positions 1494 to 2703 of the family's 2925-position model. Lineage: Bacteria; Bacillati; Bacillota; Clostridia; Peptostreptococcales; Peptostreptococcaceae. The record is from RNAcentral.